AACGAACGCUGGCGGCAUGCCUAACACAUGCAAGUCGAACGAGACCUUCGGGUCUAGUGGCGCACGGGUGCGUAACGCGUGGGAACCUGCCCUUAGGUUCGGAAUAACUCCCCGAAAGGGGUGCUAAUACCGGAUAAUGUCUUCGGACCAAAGAUUUAUCGCCUUUGGAUGGGCCCGCGUUGGAUUAGCUAGUUGGUAGGGUAAAAGCCUACCAAGGCGACGAUCCAUAGCUGGUCUGAGAGGAUGAUCAGCCACACUGGGACUGAGACACGGCCCAGACUCCUGCGGGGGGCAGAAGGGGGGAAUAUGGGACAAUGGGCGAAAGCCUAACCCAGCAAGGCCGGGUGAGUGAGGAAGGCCUUAGGGUUGUAAAGCUUUUUUCCCGGGGAUAAUAAGGACGGUACGGGGAAAAAAAGCCCCGGCUAACCCCGG
RNAcentral lists this ribosomal RNA (432 nucleotides) under uncultured bacterium. Its description in RNAcentral is "partial 16S ribosomal RNA". It matches the Rfam family "Bacterial small subunit ribosomal RNA", at positions 29 to 506 of the family's 1533-position model. The record is from RNAcentral.